UCAACCCUUCAUAAAUGUAACACACAAGCUCUAACUGGAAAAAAGAAAACUAUUGGGAAUAUUUUCCUCAUUUCACCUUAUUUAGUUAACAGGGGAAUCUUCAGCAGACCACAGUGCCUCUGUGUGUUCCUAGCAACGAGAAACCAUGGCAGAGCGCGGCCUGGAGCAGCAGCCUUCUGCGUUUGCUCAUCUGUGAUGAGGUGCAUUGACGCUAGGGAUUUGUGAGUCUGAAGAUAUAAAGUUCUACUUGCCUGCCACUGGGAAAUCUUCUCUAUGCUAAGCAGAGACCUUCUUCAUCUGAAAACUGCUGUAAAAUUGAAAGCUCUUAAGUCAAAAGCUGACUGCUUCCUGCUGCUGCUUCCCAGCUCCCCCAGAGCACGGUGCUGCUUUCUGCCCAAUGCCUCUCACUGCACACUAUCGUCAAACUGAAAGGAAACCAAAGAGAGAGAUGGAGAGACACCACAGCAAUAGAGCUUUCUCCGGUGCUGUGCUUCUUCCCAUGCGUGGAACCUGAGCUGUGCUGGAGCUGUGUGCGUGACAAGACACACCC
Erinaceus europaeus (western European hedgehog) is the source of this 550-nucleotide long non-coding RNA. RefSeq lists it as uncharacterized. Lineage: Eukaryota; Metazoa; Chordata; Mammalia; Eulipotyphla; Erinaceidae. The record is from RefSeq and is a predicted model, not a curated record. The transcript is spliced from 3 exons.